Molecule: long non-coding RNA, 1360 nt
Filed under: Oryctolagus cuniculus (rabbit)
Lineage: Eukaryota; Metazoa; Chordata; Mammalia; Lagomorpha; Leporidae
Description: lncRNA (ENSOCUG00000036495.1)
Source: RNAcentral
AUGGGCGCCCCAGGGCCCAUAGCAGGGCGACGGAGGGCUGUGUUUGCACAGUAUCACCCACGUGCCCGGACCUCAUAUCCCAACCCUCCCCUCCCAGCAGCCCAGAGGUGUCCCCGGUGGCAGGGGGUGCACUUGCAGCCUGACCGGCUUGGUCUCCUCACGGCUCCCGCUCAUCCCCGCCCUGGGCAGGGACAAAACACGAGGGGGCACAGAAGCCCUCCCCAGUGCCUGCUCAGGUCUGGCAGCGCCUUUGGUGGCUGCCUGGCAAAUACCGGCACGGGGCCUCCGGAGCGCCCUGCUCACGUUCCCAGCACUAGCUGCAGUGAGUACCUUGGCCCCAGCAAUGGUUUCGGUGGUUCUAGCUCCAACACAAGGAUGCUUGGUGGAAGACACCGUGGAGAGAAAUGGGCCUGAACACGACCAGGUGUGCAAACCAUGGGGAGGUAGCAGCCUACCCCUACAGGAAACCGGAGGGGAGGCAGUGAGCCCCAGGGGCGGAUUCAAUUCCACCUGCUGGAGGGAGCAGUGGCCUGGCAGACCCUUAGCUGCUCUGUGACCUGGUGACCCUCACUCCCUUCCCUCCUUCCUGUAAAACGGCUCAUUGCUCCCAACACACCCAGGAAACGAGCCCGUGUCAGUGGGUCCAGGCAGGAAUAACUUCCUGGAAUUAUCAUUCCACGUCCUCUCAUUCAACAGCAUUCAUCAGGCCCCGGGGCACCCUGGCUGUCUGGUAUUUUAAUCCCACCGUUUCAGAGGGCACCAGCCCCUUCCUGAGCACAAGGCCUUUGCAGUGGCCUCAGUCCCGGGGGAAGCAAGCAGGGAAGAAGGGACACUCACAGGGUCCCGGCGAACACCCCAGCGCCUGCCCUCAGCGGGGACUGUCAACGUGACAGCUCCAACGCUGCAACAGAGAGGACAAACAUGUAAAGGAAGCUAAACGAUGCCUUUUCAAACUUGCUUGGAGACUGCGAAUUCUUAUGGCUUGCAAAGGAGAAGGGGAGUAAUUUACCUUGUGCAAUCCCUCUUUCAGGUAAUCUCUGCAGCAUGCCGAUGGCCAUCCCUUCGCUCUGCAGAUAAAGACUCCUUCUUCAUCCGCACGUCUCCAUAGCUCUGAGCUCGCCUUAUACCAACAACAUAAUGAUGUCACGAACCCACAUCAGCAAACCUAGAAAGGGAUUAGCUAAAAUUCCAGAUCUGAGAACAACAGAUAACCGGAGAAAGUCACACUGCUGAAGAAAGGACAGACUUGUGGUCUGACCAAAGUCUUUUUUCUCCCACUGCUCCUGUGAAGGCGAGAAAAGAGAAUGAAAACUUCUCUGGAGGCAAAUAAAGUCCUGACACACCCAGAGCGAGGGGCUCA